CUGGUCUUGACAUCCGACUGACCGCUCCUUAAUCGGAGCUUUCCUUCGGGACAGGCGAGACAGGUGGUGCAUGGUUGUCGUCAGCUCGUGUCGUGAGAUGUUGGGUUAAGUCCCGCAACGAGCGCAACCCCUAUCUUUAGUAGCCAGCAUUUCGGGUGGGCACUCUAGAGAGACUGCCAGGGAUAACCUGGAGGAAGGCGGGGAUGACGUCAAAUCAUCAUGCCCCUUAUGACCAGGGCUACACACGUGCUACAAUGGCGUAAACAAAGGGAAGCGAACACGUGAGUGCAAGCAAAUCUCAAAAAUAACGUCUCAGUUCGGAUUGUAGUCUGCAACUCGACUACAUGAAGCUGGAAUCGCUAGUAAUCGCGAAUCAGAAUGUCGCGGUGAAUACGUUCCC
This 400-nucleotide ribosomal RNA is filed under the name uncultured bacterium. RNAcentral's name for it is "bacterial SSU rRNA". It matches the Rfam family "Bacterial small subunit ribosomal RNA", at positions 975 to 1375 of the family's 1533-position model. The record is from RNAcentral.